RNAcentral lists this long non-coding RNA (1072 nucleotides) under Mus musculus (house mouse). Its description in RNAcentral is "predicted gene, 41409". Lineage: Eukaryota; Metazoa; Chordata; Mammalia; Rodentia; Muridae. The record is from RNAcentral.
UUGCUCUUGCUCCUUUGCCUGCUUGCUGCGUGAGACUGAGUAACUGCUAGAUCCUUGGACUUCCAUUCACAGCUGCGACUGAACAAUUGUUGGGAAUUCGGCUGCCGACUAUAACUGGAAGCUGUGGAUCCAUCCUUUAGAAGAUGACAUGAAGACUUCUCCGUCAAAGACUGAUUCAGAAGGAUUCCCUUCUCCAAGGUCAAUACAACCAGUUCUGAGUUACAACCAUGUGAGUCUCCUGUUGCCUUCAAGACUGGAAUCCUGCAGGAAAGAAUCCAGAGUCUGCUGCUGUGGUACGGACAGACACCUGUGGUAUUGCAGAGAGCAGGGCUCCUGAUGCUAGGAUGCCCUGAAAUUUGACUGUAGUUGGGCUCUCUGCAUCCUCCAUUCCUUUGUCCUGUUUCUUUUCUAAUUCAGAUUUCCAUUAGUGAGCAAACUAUCUAUUCUUCCAAAAACAUUUCUUUUCUAUUUGUUUCAAACAAGGUUUGUCUAGAACCUAAAUCAGUUUGUGAGCCAAGACUCUGAUGCCCUUUGAAACCAUAGAGGAAAGCUCUUUAUUGGCUUGUCAGCCUGCUUUCUUAUAUACCUCGGGAACCCCUUUCCAGGUGUGGCAUCACUCACAGGGAUGAUCCUACAUCAAUUGUCAAUGAAGAAAAUGCCCUGCAGGCAUGCUUACAGGUCAACUGGAUGGGGGGCUUUGCAGGAAAUCAUAGAAUUGGCCUGGUCUUGAAUCCUUGAGAGGCACCUGUCAUACAUUCUUCAGAUUAGAGUUCUUGGCUCCUGGAGCACCGUAUGCCUUUCAGUUCCUGAGAAACUGAGGCAUUCCCUCGGGCAGUGGAGCAUUCAGGCCACCUGUGUAUCUCUGUGUUCCCUAGAAGUCAGCAAAGCAUGUAGAAGCUUGGUUGGGCAAUUAGUCUUAGACCUUAAUCUUGUGUACCCUGUAGAACUUGCAAAUGUGAUUGUAUCCUGACAAUUAUAACUGUAUUCUUCCUAGCAACCACUAUGGUAUUCUGUUUCUGACAUGGGUAUAAAAUUUCUAAUUGUUUUCAAUAAACUUGUCUCAUCCUGUGUC